AGGACGAACGCUGGCGGCGUGCUUAACACAUGCAAGUCGAGCGGUGAUCCUCCUUCGGGAGGUGAUCAGCGGCGAACGGGUGAGUAACACGUGGGCAACCUGCCCCUCACACUGGGAUAACCUCGGGAAACCGGGCUAAUACCGGAUACGACCUCGAGCGGCAUCUCUUGAGGUGGAAAGCUCCGACGGUGAGGGAUGGGCCCGCGGCCUAUCAGCUUGUUGGUGGGGUAGAAGCCUACCAAGGCGACGACGGGUA
Molecule: ribosomal RNA, 256 nt
Filed under: uncultured bacterium
Lineage: Bacteria
Description: partial small subunit ribosomal RNA
Rfam family: Bacterial small subunit ribosomal RNA
Source: RNAcentral